This 378-nucleotide ribosomal RNA is filed under the name uncultured Bacteroidota bacterium. RNAcentral describes it as "bacterial SSU rRNA". It matches the Rfam family "Bacterial small subunit ribosomal RNA", at positions 521 to 896 of the family's 1533-position model. The record is from RNAcentral. Lineage: Bacteria; Pseudomonadati; Bacteroidota.
UAAUACGGAGGAUCCAAGCGUUAUCCGGAAUUAUUGGGUUUAAAGGGUCCGCAGGCUGUUUGUUAAGUCAGGGGUGAAAUCCUACCGCUCAACGGUAGAACUGCCUUUGAUACUGGCAAACUUGAGUUAUUGUGAAGUAGUUAGAAUGUGUAGUGUAGCGGUGAAAUGCAUAGAUAUUACACAGAAUACCAAUUGCGAAGGCAGAUUACUAACAAUUAACUGACGCUGAGGGACGAAAGCGUGGGUAGCGAACAGGAUUAGAUACCCUGGUAGUCCACGCCGUAAACGAUGGUCACUAGCUGUUCGAUGUACAUUGGUACAUUGAGUGGCUAAGCGAAAGUGAUAAGUGACCACCUGGGGAGUACGCUCGCAAGAGUG